UCUCCGUUGGUGAACCAGCGGAGGGAUCAUUACAGUGGUCGUUACGCCCAAACCAUGUGAACACAUACCUCUCGUUGCCUCGGCGGGCGCUGUGGCGCUGGGCCUCGUGCCUAGACCGCAGUGUCCAGCCCGCCGGUGGCCCCCCAGACUCAGUCGCCUAGCUGUACUCUCGAGUCAUAUCAAAUAAGUCAAAACUUUCAACAACGGAUCUCUUGGUUCUGGCAUCGAUGAAGAACGCAGC
This 241-nucleotide unclassified non-coding RNA is filed under the name uncultured fungus. RNAcentral describes it as "sequence contains ITS1, 5.8S rRNA gene". The stretch from base 193 to 241 matches the Rfam family "5.8S ribosomal RNA", at positions 1 to 49 of the family's 154-position model. The record is from RNAcentral. Lineage: Eukaryota; Fungi.